This 177-nucleotide ribosomal RNA is filed under the name Agaricales sp. RNAcentral's name for it is "partial large subunit ribosomal RNA". The record is from RNAcentral. Lineage: Eukaryota; Fungi; Basidiomycota; Agaricomycetes; Agaricales.
AAACGCUUGAAGUCAGUCGUGUCCUUCAGGGAUCAAGUUGCCUCUGGGUGACCGUAUUUUUCUGAUGACAGGUCAGCAUCAAUUUUGACCGUUGGAAAAAGGCCUUGGUAAUGUGGCACCUCCGGGUGUGUUAUAGACCUCAGCUGGAUACAAUGGUUGGGAUUGAGGAACUCAGUG